Molecule: long non-coding RNA, 217 nt
Filed under: Ananas comosus (pineapple)
Lineage: Eukaryota; Viridiplantae; Streptophyta; Magnoliopsida; Poales; Bromeliaceae
Description: long non-coding RNA (ACOM_LNC038647)
Source: RNAcentral
UUUAUUUUAUAGAAAUUAGUGCAUACACUGUUUGUUUUUAUGAAAUUUAUGCAUUAUAUUUUUCUUCUCUUUCAUAAAAAUAUAAAAACUGAUUUACUGAACAUACUUAGCGCAUAAUUGAUUAAGAAUUUGAUGAUUGGUAUUUGAUGCUUCAAGUUUUUUUUUAAAAAUAAAAUAGCAACUUGAUCUAUGUAUCGCUGAUACUUCCACGAAACAA